AAUACUAUUUAUGACAUAAUAUAAUCCGAAUGAACAUCAACUAACAAUAUUAACAGUAUUAACAGUAAACAUCAAUGUCAUAUCCGAAAUUUACGUGAUAUAGUCUAGCGUAAUAAUUUCUCGAAAACGUUGAAAAGGAUUGCAUUUUGAGUUUUCGACCAUCGAAUGUCGUUUCAUUGAGUUUUAUAUUAAUCUCAAGGAGUUCUAUGCUAACUUUUACGUAUAGAAAUGUCGCCUUGUAUAAUCUCGGACUGCGCUAAUCCACUUUAAUUCGGAGGUUGGGGAAUAUGAAGUAUAUCUACAUUUCCGGGAAUUAUCAGGUAUACGGCGAAAACAUCUAACAGUGUUCUAGAAAGAGACAGCACACCUCUCUUAUCGCGGAUCUGCCUUACACUCCUCCUAGAUUCUUAGAUUCUUCGAUCCAUGACUCUAACGAGAUCAGCGCACCACCCAAGAGGAACUAAAAUAAUCGGUAAUGCAGAGAGAAGUUUGACACACGCCGGCGUUUUCCUUGAUAACGUUUUACGCGCGUGGCUCCGUGUGUGUCCUCAGCUCGGGAAAUUGAUAAUGCCUGCGACUUACUUUGAAAUACCGCAACGAGGUAAAGGUCCUCAAGGUCGAAGGAUUCGCGAUUCCAGUCACUUCAGAUAAAGGGCGGAGCGAAUAUGGAACGCGAUAAAGAGUUUUUCCGACAUGUGUUUCUUCGACUUUGAUUUGAAAAAAAGUGCCGCUGAAGCUUAUCACUUGCCUUUGGACACUUAUAGGCAAGCUACUCCUUCAGAAAGAACGUGUGGAAAAUUGAUGCAACGUUUCAAAGAAGGUGAUAUUGAAGUUCAAGACAAGAAACGCUCAGGGCAACCGAAAAAAUUUGACGACGAGGAAUUGCAAGAGUUAUUGGAUGAAAAUCCGGCACAGACGCUCAAAGAAUUGUCAGCUCAGCUUGGUAAAACAAACUAUGCCCGAGGAGCGUGGUAACAAACGUGUUAAUAAUCAUCAAUAAAUAUUAUUAAUUUUUUUUAUUGUACAAAUGUUAUUAAAUUUUUUUAAAUAAUUUUAUUUGACUGUUAUAUUUUCCAUAAUAUACGAUAUUGAAAUGCGAACAAUAUUAAUAUAUAAUUCAUGAAUAAAUAAACAUAACUAUGCAUAUAAAUAAUUAUUUCAGUAACUUUUCAACAAACAUUCAAAAAGGUUUCAGAUAUAUUUUGGUAACCUUUCAGCACAUCUUCAGGAAGGUUUCAAGUGCAAGAAUUUUGCUAUCCCAGAGUCGUCUCAGAAACAUUUUGAAACAUUUCGGUGCUGUAUGGGAGAGUUGAGAACAUUCUUGGAGGGGGGAGNGGG
Dinoponera quadriceps is the source of this 1338-nucleotide RNA transcript. RefSeq lists it as uncharacterized. Lineage: Eukaryota; Metazoa; Arthropoda; Insecta; Hymenoptera; Formicidae. The record is from RefSeq and is a predicted model, not a curated record. The transcript is spliced from 3 exons.